GCAGCUUAUUGGACGAUGGUGCUCCUAAUUGGGAGGUAAUACGAAACAGAAGUAUAAAUAAAAGCGCCCUCUUCCGGCCUUUUUCAUCAAGCCAAGAUGGCAGAACAGGUACAGUCCACAUGGCCGUCGAACAAAUGUGUCUAUUUGCACGUUUUCUAUAUAUUAUUCGUGUUUUAUUUACAGUUUAAUUACAAUUAAAAAGUAUGAAUUAAUAAAACAUGAAUUUAAACAUUCUAUAACAGAAGUAACGCAUGAAAAUAUGAGGGAAACAAAAAAAGGGGGGCUGUUGGGGCACAAAUUCGGGUCUGUACACAAGUUUGUCCAAUAAAUCUGCAUAGCGUUGACAUUUUCUUCAAUCAAAAGGAAUAGACUAUUAAGAACUUAAUUUUCUGAAACUAAUAUAUCGUAUUCCCGAAACUUGAAAUUUCACAGAACAAUAAGUCUUCCUCUUACAUUUUACAAACUUUUAUACUAGUUGAGUACACCCCUGUAGCCUACUAGGAAAUUAUGCCGUAAACACGAUUUUAAAAUAAUCUGGCACAUAAUACAAAGAAAAAUGCAAAUAUUAUUGCUUCUAUAUAAAACUUGUAUUUACAUCAUGUAAUACAUGUAAUUAUUUGCUACAUGUUGUAUUUGUCUAUGCGUAAUAAAUAAUAAUCCUGGUACAUGUACCUUUGAUCAAUAGCGUGAAUAGGACCUCUAUAAAUUCAUGAAUAGAUUUUAGAUUUGAUGCUUUUAAGAGAUCACAUAUACAGUACAUUAGAUGUUCAUGGUCAAUGAUAUAUAAGAACAAGUGUUGAAACAUUAACUAAUUAUGUUAUUUUGUUUCUUUUUCUUUGGUCAGUCUGCAAUAUGAGGCAACUGCCUACAUGCCUCCCCAUAAUAAAUGGCCCCAAUCUUCCCAAAAUGCAAACAAUAAGGUGACCGUCUUGUUUUCAAAUGAUUACAUUAAAUAAGUUGAUUGGUUUAUUGUCAAUCAGUUAGAUACUUAACUAUCAUUUGGCUAAUCCAAUUAUCUAAUUAGAUAUACAUACAUGUAGGUACCUGUAGUGGAAUCUUUUAUAUUAUAUAAUUGUUAAAAUAAUAUAUAUUUUUCAAGCAAACAAGACAUUAAUUUUCAUUUUUUUAAUCAAAUUUUUAUAGAUCAAUCAUUUGACGUAAGAAAUUAGUAAUCUUUACAUAGCUCUGCCAACUGUGACAUUUUCUUAGUUUAAUCUUAUAUAAAGAAAUUAUUACUUAACCUACAUGUAGGCCUCUUGUUUUUGAAUUCAAAACAGUGAAAGACACAUUUUUAAAUAAAAAGGCGUAAAAAAACAACCAAGGACAAAUGAUGUUUUGCUGAAACAUCUUGAAAAUUUAUUUAAUAUCCCAUUUCUGAUUUAAUGCAUAUGGUUCUAGUUAAAAUUGGCUCACAGUAGUAUAUUAUCUAUAAAAAGAUUGAAAAAUGAAAAACCCAAUAAACAGCAGUAACUAAGGCCCCAGAAAAGGUCUGUUAUCAUGAAUGUGAGAAUUAAGAAUUUGAGACCUUCAAAACUUUAUUUAUUUUAGUUAUCAAACAUCUAACUUGUUUUUUCAAAAUAUGCAGCUGAAUUGAUCAAAACAACAAAAUCUUGAAACGACGUCUAUUUACAAUUGGGAAUUUAAGCGCUGAAAAUUGGUGGAAAAGAGAGCGUAUUGCCCCUUGAGACAGGUGCCUAAAUUUUCAGACCCAAAUAUGAGGGUUGGGAAAUCCCUGCAUUCUAACAUGUACCUAAUAUUUUAACAACAAUUCAUACACAAAUAACAGUGAACUGAUUUAAAUGUAAUUCAAAUUUCUAUUUAACAGACAGAAAGGUCGUUUCAAAAGCAGCCCACAGUGUUUCUGAACAAGAAGCAAGGUGCUGGAAAAAAGAAGGCUCUUAGACAUCAUUUCAGUGUUGGUCUGGGAUUCAAAACACCCAGAGAGG
This 1946-nucleotide long non-coding RNA is filed under the name Mytilus galloprovincialis (Mediterranean mussel). Lineage: Eukaryota; Metazoa; Mollusca; Bivalvia; Mytilida; Mytilidae. The record is from RNAcentral.